AUAUGAGGUCGGACCUGCCCAGUGAAACGUUUCAACGGCCGCGGUACUCUGACCGUGCAAAGGUAGCAUAAUCAUUUGCCUUGUAAUUGAAGGCUAGAAUGAAUGGUUUGACAAGAACGUUACUGUCUCUCCCCCAAUUUUGUAGAAUUUUAUUUUGGAAUGAAAAAGUUCUGAUUGAAUUAAAAGACAAGAAGACCCUAUCGAGCUUAAAAUAAAUUAAUGAAAUAAUAUCUAUAAAAUCUAAAAGAUUAUUCGUUAAAAAUUUUGGUUGGGGCAACCAAGGAGCAUUUAAAGCCUCCUUUAUAAUAAUAAUUUAAGACUGAUAAGUCUCGAUCCAGUAAAUACUGAUUGAAAGAAUUAGUUACCGUAGGGAUAACAGCAUUAUCUUUUUUGAGAGUUCAUAUCGAAAAAAAGGUUUGUGACCUCGAUGUUGGACCAGAAUAUCCUAAAGAUGCAGAAGUCUUUAAGGGUUGGUCUGUUCGACCAUUAAAAUUCUA
RNAcentral lists this ribosomal RNA (497 nucleotides) under Anarithma metula. Its description in RNAcentral is "Mitromorpha metula partial 16S ribosomal RNA". It matches the Rfam family "Bacterial large subunit ribosomal RNA", at positions 1845 to 2598 of the family's 2925-position model. Lineage: Eukaryota; Metazoa; Mollusca; Gastropoda; Neogastropoda; Conidae. The record is from RNAcentral.